GAUCCUGGCUCAGGAUGAACGCUAGCGACAGGCUUAACACAUGCAAGUCGAGGGGCAGCGAGGGAGUGGCAACACUUCCCCCGUCGGCGACCGGCGCACGGGUGAGUAACGCGUAUGCAACCUGCCCUUCACAGGGGGAUAACCGGGAGAAAUUCCGACUAAUACCGCAUACGUCCUCCGGGGGCAUCCCCGGGGGAUGAAAGAAUUAUCGGUGAAGGAUGGGCAUGCGUGAUAUUAGGUAGUUGGCGGGGCAACCGGG
This 259-nucleotide ribosomal RNA is filed under the name uncultured bacterium. RNAcentral's name for it is "partial 16S ribosomal RNA". It matches the Rfam family "Bacterial small subunit ribosomal RNA", at positions 15 to 263 of the family's 1533-position model. The record is from RNAcentral.